UACGAAGGGGGCUAGCGUUGCUCGGAAUCACUGGGCGUAAAGGGUGCGUAGGCGGGUUUUUACGUCAGGGGUGAAAUCCUGGAGCUCAACUCCAGAACUGCCUUUGAUACUGAAGAUCUUGAGUCCGGGAGAGGUGAGUGGAACUGCGAGUGUAGAGGUGAAAUUCGUAGAUAUUCGCAAGAACACCAGUGGCGAAGGCGGCUCACUGGCCCGGUACUGACGCUGAGGCACGAAAGCGUGGGGAGCAAACAGG
This 253-nucleotide ribosomal RNA is filed under the name uncultured bacterium. RNAcentral's name for it is "partial 16S ribosomal RNA". It matches the Rfam family "Bacterial small subunit ribosomal RNA", at positions 524 to 776 of the family's 1533-position model. The record is from RNAcentral.